AUUGAACGCUGGCGGCAUGCCUUACACAUGCAAGUCGAACGGUAACAGGUCUUCGGAUGCUGACGAGUGGCGAACGGGUGAGUAAUACAUCGGAACGUGCCUAGUAGUGGGGGAUAACUACUCGAAAGAGUGGCUAAUACCGCAUGAGAUCUACGGAUGAAAGCAGGGGAUCGCAAGACCUUGUGCUACUAGAGCGGCCGAUGGCAGAUUAGGUAGUUGGUGGGAUAAAAGCUUACCAAGCCGACGAUCUGUAGCUGGUCUGAGAGGACGAUCAGCCACACUGGGACUGAGACAGGGGCAAGACUCCUACGGGAGGCAGCAAUGGGGAGUAUUGGACAAUGGGCGAAAGCCUGAUCCAGCAAUGCCGCGUGCAGGAUGAAGGCCUUCGGGUUGUAAACUGCUUUUGUACGGAACGAAAAGCCCCGGGUUAAUACCCUGGGGUCAUGACGGUACCGUAAGAAUAAGCACCGGCUAACUACGUGCCAGCCGCCGCCGUAA
Molecule: ribosomal RNA, 498 nt
Filed under: uncultured bacterium
Lineage: Bacteria
Description: partial 16S ribosomal RNA
Rfam family: Bacterial small subunit ribosomal RNA
Source: RNAcentral